ACGGCUUCAAGUUUUCGGACGAGAAGCCGUGGAGGAGAGUGGCGAAAGGGUGAGUAGCGCGUGGGUAACCUGCUCCUAAGUUGGGGAUAACCCCGCGAAAGCGGGGCUAAUACCGAAUGUGGUUUUCCGUCGCAUGACGGGAUGACUGAAGGUGGGGAUCCUUCGGGACCUGCCGCUUGGGGAGGGGCCCGCGUACCAUCAGCUUGUUGGUGGGGUAACGGCCCACCAAGGCUCACGGUUAGCUGGUCUGAGAGGAUGGUCAGCCACACUGGGACUGAGACACUGCCCAGACUCCUACGGGAGGCUGCAGUCGAGGAUCAUUGGCAAUGCGCGAAAGCGUGACCAUGCGACGCUGCGUGGGGGAUGAAGGCCUUCGGGUUGUAAACUCCUGUCAUCCGGGAAAAACGAUUCCGUGCUGAUAAGGCAUGGGAAGUGAUGGUACCGGAAGAGGAAGCCACGGCUAACUCUGUGCCAGCAGCCGCGGUAAUACAGAGGUGGCAAGCGUUGUUCGGAUUUA
Molecule: ribosomal RNA, 517 nt
Filed under: uncultured bacterium
Lineage: Bacteria
Description: bacterial SSU rRNA
Rfam family: Bacterial small subunit ribosomal RNA
Source: RNAcentral